GUUGUAUAGUCAAGUAAUUAAGUGCAUGUGGUGGAUGCUUGGCAGUCAGAGGCGAUGAAAGACGUGAUAGCCUGCGAAAAGCUCCGGGGAGGCGGCAAAUAUCCUUUGAUCCGGAGAUGUCUGAAUGGGGGAACCCACCUACUUUAAGGUAGGUAUUGCAACAUGAAUACAUAGUGUUGCAAGGCGAACGAGGGGAAGUGAAACAUCUCAGUACCCUUAGGAAAAGAAAUCAAUUGAGAUUCCCUCAGUAGCGGCGAGCGAACGGGGAUCAGCCCAUUAAGUUAUGUGUGUUUUAGUGGAACGCUCUGGGAAGUGCGAACGUAGAGGGUGAUAUUCCCGUACACGAAAGGGCACACAUAAUGAUGACGAGUAGGGCGAGGCACGUGAAACCUUGUCUGAAUAUGGGGGGACCAUCCUCCAAGGCUAAAUACUCCUGACUGACCGAUAGUGAACCAGUACCGUGAGGGAAAGGCGAAAAGAACCCCUGUGAGGGGAGUGAAAUAGAUCCUGAAACCGCAUGCAUACAAGCAGUGGGAGCACCUUCGUGGUGUGACUGCGUACCUUUUGUAUAAUGGGUCAGCGACUUAUAUUCAGUAGCGAGGUUAACCGUAUAGGGGAGCCGUAGAGAAAUCGAGUCUUAAUAGGGCGUUUAGUUGCUGGGUAUAGACCCGAAACCAGGCGAUCUAUCCAUGAGCAGGUUGAAGGUUGGGUAACACUAACUGGAGGACCGAACCCACUGUCGUUGAAAAGCCAGGGGAUGACUUGUGGAUAGGGGUGAAAGGCUAAUCAAGCCUGGUGAUAGCUGGUUCUCCCCGAAAGCUAUUUAGGUAGCGCCUCGGACGAAUACCAUAGGGGGUAGAGCACUGUUUCGGCUAGGGGGUCAUCCCGACUUACCAAACCGAUGCAAACUCCGAAUACCUAUGAGUACUAUCCGGGAGACAGACUGCGGGUGCUAACGUCCGUAGUCAAGAGGAAAACAAUCCAGACCGCCAGCUAAGGCCCCAAAAUCAUAGUUAAGUGGGAAACGAUGUGGGAAGGCAUAGACAGCUAGGAGGUUGGCUUAGAAGCAGCCACCCUUUAAAGAAAGCGUAAUAGCUCACUAGUCGAGUCGGCCUGCGCGGAAGAUGUAACGGGGCUAAAACUAUGUGCCGAAGCUGCGGAUGUAUACUUUGUAUACGUGGUAGGGGAGCGUUCUGUAAGCCGAUGAAGGUGUGUUGAGAAGCAUGCUGGAGGUAUCAGAAGUGCGAAUGCUGACGUGAGUAACGACAAAACGGGUGAAAAACCCGUUCGCCGAAAGACCAAGGGUUCCAGUCCAACGUUAAUCGGG
Molecule: ribosomal RNA, 1327 nt
Filed under: Acinetobacter baumannii
Lineage: Bacteria; Pseudomonadati; Pseudomonadota; Gammaproteobacteria; Moraxellales; Moraxellaceae
Description: bacterial LSU rRNA
Rfam family: Bacterial large subunit ribosomal RNA
Source: RNAcentral